Molecule: ribosomal RNA, 207 nt
Filed under: uncultured bacterium
Lineage: Bacteria
Description: partial 16S ribosomal RNA
Rfam family: Bacterial small subunit ribosomal RNA
Source: RNAcentral
UGCGUAGGCGGCCGUGUAAGUCUGGCGUGAAAGCCCCGGGCUCAGCCCGGGAAGUGCGCUCGAAACUGCGCGGCUCGAGUGCCGGAGGGGAGAGUGGAAUUCCUGGUGUAGCGGUGAAAUGCGUAGAUAUCAGGAGGAAUACCGGUGGCGAAAGCGACUCUCUGGACGGCAACUGACGCUGAGGCACGAAAGCGUGGGGAGCAAACA